GUGCCAGCAGCCGCGGUAAUACAGAGGGGGCAAGCGUUGUUCGGAAUUACUGGGCGUAAAGGGCGCGUAGGUGGCCUUCUAAGUCGAACGUGAAAUCCCUGGGCUCAACCCAGGAACUGCGUCCGAUACUGGAAGGCUUGAAUCCGGGAGAGGGAUGCGGAAUUCCAGGUGUAGCGGUGAAAUGCGUAGAUAUCUGGAGGAACACCGGUGGCGAAGGCGGCAUCCUGGACCGGCAUUGACGCUGAGGCGCGAAAGCUAGGGGAGCAAACGGGAUUAGAUACCCUUGUAGUCC
Molecule: ribosomal RNA, 292 nt
Filed under: uncultured bacterium
Lineage: Bacteria
Description: partial 16S ribosomal RNA
Rfam family: Bacterial small subunit ribosomal RNA
Source: RNAcentral